GCCGGCUUAGCUCAUCUGGUAGAGCAGUUGAUUUGUAAUCAUCAGGUGGCGGGUUCGAGUCCUGCAGCCGGCACCA
RNAcentral lists this transfer RNA (76 nucleotides) under Burkholderia cepacia. Its description in RNAcentral is "tRNA-Thr (TGT) (tRNA-Thr-TGT-1-1)". It matches the Rfam family "tRNA". Rfam says of the family: Transfer RNA (tRNA) molecules are approximately 80 nucleotides in length. Their secondary structure includes four short double-helical elements and three loops (D, anti-codon, and T loops). Further hydrogen bonds mediate the characteristic L-shaped molecular structure. tRNAs have two regions of fundamental functional importance: the anti-codon, which is responsible for specific mRNA codon recognition, and the 3' end, to which the tRNAs corresponding amino acid is attached (by aminoacyl-tRNA synthetases). tRNAs cope with the degeneracy of the genetic code in two manners: having more than one tRNA (with a specific anti-codon) for a particular amino acid; and 'wobble' base-pairing, i.e. permitting non-standard base-pairing at the 3rd anti-codon position. Lineage: Bacteria; Pseudomonadati; Pseudomonadota; Betaproteobacteria; Burkholderiales; Burkholderiaceae. The record is from RNAcentral. RNAcentral also lists the same sequence under 731 other names.